ACCAGCAGCCAUAUCACUCUGCAACUCCCAGCUGGCAGCCCCACUGAACCCACUCAGCAGGUGUGAGCCUGGUCAGUACCUGGAUGGGAGACCUCCUGGGAAAAACUAAGGUUGCUGCUGGAA
This 123-nucleotide ribosomal RNA is filed under the name Lepisosteus oculatus (spotted gar). The record is from RNAcentral. Lineage: Eukaryota; Metazoa; Chordata; Actinopteri; Semionotiformes; Lepisosteidae.